UACGACACUUUCAAAAUACAAGGC
This 24-nucleotide non-coding RNA is filed under the name Arabidopsis thaliana (thale cress). The record is from RNAcentral. Lineage: Eukaryota; Viridiplantae; Streptophyta; Magnoliopsida; Brassicales; Brassicaceae.